Molecule: ribosomal RNA, 465 nt
Filed under: uncultured bacterium
Lineage: Bacteria
Description: partial 16S ribosomal RNA
Rfam family: Bacterial small subunit ribosomal RNA
Source: RNAcentral
CUACGGGUUGCUCCAGUGGGGAAUAUUGCACAAUGGGCGCAAGCCUGAUGCAGCCAUGCCGCGUGUAUGAAGAAGGCCUUCGGGUUGUAAAGUACUUUCAGCGGGGAGGAAGGGAGUAAAGUUAAUACCUUUGCUCAUUGACGUUACCCGCAGAAGAAGCACCGGCUAACUCCGUGCCAGCGAGCCGCGGUAAUACGGAGGGUGCAAGCGUUAAUCGGAAUUACUGGGCGUAAAGCGCACGCAGGCGGUUUGUUAGGUCAGAUGUGAAAUCCCCGGGCUCAACCUGGGAACUGCAUCUGAUACUGGCAAGCUGGAGUCUCGUAGAGGGGGGUAGAAUUCCAGGUGGAGCGGUGAAAUGCGUAGAGAUCUGGAGGAAUACCGGUGGCGAAGGCGAACCCCUGGACGAGAACUGACGCUGAGGCGCGAAAGCGUGGGGAGCGAACAGGAUUAGAUACCCGGGUAGUC